GGGGAUGACUGGCUUCGACAGGGGAGGCUGGUCCCGGAAUGCGAGCCGAGAGUGCGCCGACCUCGAUAAAUCAGUGCAAACCUUAAGUGCCAACCGCACUUCCUAUGCCGCUAUGCCCCUCGCUGCCUAAUCCGCAGUAGAAGCAAAACCGGCCCGCCCCCACGGGGACGGCGUCUGCCACUCCCGCUUUUCGCCCGGAGAGUGAGCAGGCGACCCAAAGGCGAAAUGCCGCUCCGUAAGGUCACGCGCGGAGUGAAAGAGGGCUUUCGGGCCUGAGUGAAUGGCCGCAGGGCAGUUUUGCCGGGUGAAUUUCCGGCGGCGACACAAUCAACCGGCUACGCUCGUAGAUUUCCGAGGGUCGAAUCUUUUGGACGCGGGUUCGAUUCCCGCCAUCUCCACCA
Molecule: transfer-messenger RNA, 401 nt
Filed under: Anaerolineales
Lineage: Bacteria; Bacillati; Chloroflexota; Anaerolineae
Also listed under: 3 other names
Description: UBA8950 sp001872455 Standard tmRNA
Rfam family: transfer-messenger RNA
About the family: Bacterial tmRNA, also known as 10Sa RNA or SsrA, is named for its dual tRNA and mRNA-like properties. Its role is to liberate the mRNA from a stalled ribosome.
Source: RNAcentral